UAUAGCCUCCUACGGGGCGCAGCAGUGGGGAAUAUUGGACAAUGGGCGAAAGCCUGAUCCAGCCAUGCCGCGUGUGUGAAGAAGGUCUUCGGAUUGUAAAGCACUUUAAGUUGGGAGGAAGGGCAGUAAGUUAAUACCUUGCUGUUUUGACGUUACCGACAGAAUAAGCACCGGCUAACUUCGUGCCAGCAGCCGCGGUAAUACGAAGGGUGCAAGCGUUAAUCGGAAUUACUGGGCGUAAAGCGCGCGUAGGUGGUU
Molecule: ribosomal RNA, 258 nt
Filed under: uncultured Pseudomonas sp.
Lineage: Bacteria; Pseudomonadati; Pseudomonadota; Gammaproteobacteria; Pseudomonadales; Pseudomonadaceae
Description: partial 16S ribosomal RNA
Rfam family: Bacterial small subunit ribosomal RNA
Source: RNAcentral